Long non-coding RNA from Sebastes umbrosus (honeycomb rockfish), 160 nucleotides. RefSeq lists it as uncharacterized. The record is from RefSeq and is a predicted model, not a curated record. NCBI's taxonomy places the organism in Eukaryota, Metazoa, Chordata, Actinopteri, Perciformes, Sebastidae. The transcript is spliced from 2 exons.
UAAAGUCAAGUUACAACAGCCUCCUGUGUCUUGGCGAAACAUCAAUAUUCAACGCGCCGCCACAAGAACGCCGUUUCACGAAAACACAAAAGCUUCACAAUUUAGCAUCCUGAAGGUGUUGAGAUUCGGAGGAGUUCGUAAAAGUAUGCAUACAAUACAU